Molecule: transfer RNA, 72 nt
Filed under: Luidia senegalensis
Lineage: Eukaryota; Metazoa; Echinodermata; Asteroidea; Paxillosida; Luidiidae
Description: tRNA-Leu
Rfam family: tRNA
About the family: Transfer RNA (tRNA) molecules are approximately 80 nucleotides in length. Their secondary structure includes four short double-helical elements and three loops (D, anti-codon, and T loops).
Source: RNAcentral
GCUAAAAUAGCAAAGCGGUGAAUGCAGUAGAUUUAGGUUUUAUUAUCAAAGGUUCGAAUCCUUUUUUUAGUU